GGCUCAGGGUGAACGCUGGCGGUCUGCAUAACGCAUGCAAGUCGAGCGGUUGGUGGACUUCGGUUCAGCAACAGCGGCAAACGGCUGAGGAACGCGUAGGAAACCUGCCCGACGGUGGGGGACAACCCCGGGAAACUGGGGCUAAUACCGCAUACGUCUUUCUGACAUAAGUUGGAAAGGGAAAGGGUCCCGUAAGGGACUCGCCGACGGAGGGUCCUGCGUCCCAUCAGGUAGUUGGCGGGGUAACGGCCCACCAAGCCGACGACGGGUAGCUGGUCUGAGAGGACGAUCAGCCAGAGGGGGACUGAGACACGGCCCCCACUCCUACGGGAGGCAGCAGCGAGGGAUCUUGGGCAAUGGGCGAAAGCCUGACCCAGCGAGACCGCGUGGGGGAUGAAGGCCUUCGGGUCGUAAACCCCUUUUAUAGGGGAAGAGCAAGGACGGUACCUUAUGAAUAAGCCCCGGCUAACUACGUGCCAGCAGCCGCGGUAAUACGUAGGGGGCGAGCGUUACCCGGAAUUACUGGGCGUAAAGGGGAGGCAGGCGGCAGGGUUAGUCGUCCGAGAAAGGUCUCGGCUCAACCGAGAUAGCACGGGCGAAACGGCCCCGCUCGAGGCCAGCAGAGGCGGGUGGAAUUCCCGGUGGAGCGGUGACAUGCGUAGAGAUCGGGAGGAACACCAGUGGCGAAGGCGACCCGCUGGGCUGGUACUGACGCUGAACUCCGAAAGCGUGGGGAGCGAACAGGAUUAGAUACCCUGGUAGUCCACGCCCUAAACGUUGGAUGCUAGGUAUGGGGGGGUAUCGACCCCCUCCGUGCCGUAGUUUACGCGUUAAGCAUCCCGCCUGGGGAGUACGGCCGCAAGGCUAAAACU
This 872-nucleotide ribosomal RNA is filed under the name uncultured Chloroflexota bacterium. RNAcentral's name for it is "SSU rRNA". It matches the Rfam family "Bacterial small subunit ribosomal RNA", at positions 21 to 901 of the family's 1533-position model. Lineage: Bacteria; Bacillati; Chloroflexota. The record is from RNAcentral.